RNAcentral lists this ribosomal RNA (637 nucleotides) under uncultured Actinomycetes bacterium. RNAcentral's name for it is "bacterial SSU rRNA". It matches the Rfam family "Bacterial small subunit ribosomal RNA", at positions 816 to 1455 of the family's 1533-position model. Lineage: Bacteria; Bacillati; Actinomycetota; Actinomycetes. The record is from RNAcentral.
CUAGUUGUGGGGAACCUUCCACGGUUUCUGCGACGCAGCUAACGCAUUAAGUGCCCCGCCUGGGGAGUACGAUCGCAAGAUUAAAACUCAAAGGAAUUGACGGGGCCCCGCACAAGCAGCGGAGCAUGCGGCUUAAUUCGACGCAACGCGAAGAACCUUACCAAGGCUUGACAUAUAGGGAAAAGUGGCAGAGAUGUCAUGUCCGCAAGGGCCCUAUACAGGUGGUGCAUGGUUGUCGUCAGCUCGUGUCGUGAGAUGUUGGGUUAAGUCCCGCAACGAGCGCAACCCUCGUUCUGUGUUGCCAGCAUUUAGUUGGGGACUCACAGGAGACUGCCGGGGUUAACUCGGAGGAAGGUGGGGAUGACGUCAAAUCAUCAUGCCCCUUAUGUCUUGGGCUGCACGCAUGCUACAAUGGCCGGUACAGAGGGCUGCAAUACCGUAAGGUGGAGCGAAUCCCAAAAAGCCGGUCUCAGUUCGGAUUGAGGUCUGCAACUCGACCUCAUGAAGUUGGAGUUGCUAGUAAUCGUAGAUCAGCAACGCUACGGUGAAUACGUUCCCGGGGCUUGUACACACCGCCCGUCACGUCACGAAAUCGGUAACACCCAAAGUCAGUGGCCCAACCGCAAGGGGGGAGCUG